GCGCACGGCGGCGAGCCGUGUCCGUGGUGGGACUCAGCAUGGCGUGCUUGCACCUCGGGUGCCGUGGCGCCCGCUUCGGCGAGUCUUCUCGGCUGCGGUCAGGGAAGCGUCGGUAGUGGGACAGCUGCGGUGCCGCCUGCGCACUUUCCGCCCGGACUCGUCAGCGAGGAUCGCCUCGGGCCCAAAGAACGGUGGGGUAGGUGAUUCGACGGUGGCCUCGGCCCCGUCGAGAGCUUAUAGCCUGCCGUCGUGGCCGUGGCCGCGGCCCGAGCGUCGAUCGAGGCGUGUUGCGAGCGUUUUCGCCGGAGAGGCCGGGAGACACAGGGCGAGCGUUUGCUCGUUCGUCGACCCGGCUCCGACGCUGGCGUCGAGUCGCUGCCGUGCGA
This 386-nucleotide ribosomal RNA is filed under the name Demospongiae sp. GW6169. Its description in RNAcentral is "partial 28S large subunit ribosomal RNA". Lineage: Eukaryota; Metazoa; Porifera; Demospongiae. The record is from RNAcentral.